GAUUACAGGCACGCGCCACCACUCCCAGUUUACACCCCGCCACUCCUGAGCACCGCACACCGGCUUCCUCCCAGUCCCUCAUCUGAGAACUCAUGAAGCCACUUGGAAUCCCUCUCUGCUUUGCCUGGCUCAUUCCAUGUCAAUUUCAGAUCUUCACUUCAGGUCAGCUCCAAGGAGGCUAUCCUUGCCCAUCUUCCUAAAAUAGAGCUCUCAAAACCUGGCUGUUUUCCUUCAGAGCACUGGCCUCCAAUUGCUCCGGUAGAUUGCAAAUGACCUGCUUUCUUUCUGUUCCCGGGCGUUUGGACCCCUGUCUUGGACCGCUGUCGGAUAGUAAAUCCCAAGUAAGGUACCUGCCGUCGGCAGAUUUGAGCUUUCUUCUUGGACACCUAAUACCCAGAGUCCUCCAGGCUCCGGUAGAUUGCAAAUGACCUGCUUUCUUUCUGUUCCCGGGCGGCAUCGGACCCGUCGGAGAGUAAAUCCCAAGUAAGGUACCUGCCGUUGGCAGAUUUGAGCUUUCUUCUUGGACACCUAAUACCCACAGUCCUCCAGGCUCCGGUAGAUUGCAAAUGACCUGCUUUCUUUCUGUUCCCGGGUGGCAUCGACCCGUCGGAGAGUAAAUCCCAAGUAAGGUACCUGCCGUUGGCAGAUUUGAGCUUUCUUCUUGGACACCUAAUACCCACAGUCCUCCAGUAAAUCCCAAGCAAGGUACCUGCCGUCAGCAGAUUUGAGCUUUCUUCUUGGACACCUAAUACCCACAGUCCUCCAGGCUCCGGUAGAUUGCAAAUGACCUGCUUUCUUUCUGUUCCCGGGCUGCGUUCGGACCCCUGUCGGAUAGUAACUCCCAAAAAAACAAACAAAGACAUGGAUUUACUGUGCAUAUUAGCAGAUCCAUACUGGAAAAUGCAUGGAGGUUUCAUAUACACCACUUACAGAUGCAGAAAGGCAGUGAACUCCUCCGGAGUAGCUGUCAGGUCACCAUUGAGGUCUGCAGCUUUGAAUCUUCUCUCAUCACGUGGCAGCAUCUUUUUAAAGGUGUGAUGAUCUGAAGAAUCAUGAAACUCUGCGGGGUUUCCUAGGUUUUCAGCUCCUCAGUAGUGACAAAGCCAUACCCAUCAUUGUCGAUUCGAUCAACAAUCUUCCCUAGCCUCUCCUUGCUCUCGUCCGGGGUGAGCUCGUCGAAGUUCUUGGAGUCCUCCUUGCCCAGGAAGGCCUCGUGGUCGUACUGGAAGCUCUGGUUGUCCUCAGGGGGCCGCUCGCCCAGCUCCGAGUCGGGCCGCACCACGCGCUCUUUGCGCACCGUGGGCUUGGCCCGCAGAACCCGCGGCGCCAGCACCAGCGCCAGCAGCAGCCCCAGGGCUAACCCCAGGCGGCCACCGCGCGCCAUCGUCCCGAGGAGAGGGCGGCCGGGAGGGAGACGCUGAGCGAGCGACAACAGCGGCAGCUCGGGAAUGGGGGCUCGGAGCGCGGCGGCCAAGUUUUAUGUUAUGUAUAUUUUACAAGUAAAAAAAUUUUUUCACCUCAGCCUGAACUGAACACUAGCUGACAGACGUUUUGAUUUCUUUGACCAUCACGGAAUCGUGGCCAAGCGCGGUGGCUCACAUCUGUAAUCCCAACACUUUGGGAGGUCAAGAUGGGCGGAUUGCUUGAAUCCAGGUGUUUGAGAU
Homo sapiens (human) is the source of this 1664-nucleotide long non-coding RNA. Ensembl annotates it as TPT1 antisense RNA 1. Its record names the gene TPT1-AS1. NCBI's taxonomy places the organism in Eukaryota, Metazoa, Chordata, Mammalia, Primates, Hominidae. The record is from Ensembl.